Molecule: long non-coding RNA, 364 nt
Organism: Vombatus ursinus (common wombat)
Lineage: Eukaryota; Metazoa; Chordata; Mammalia; Diprotodontia; Vombatidae
Exons: 3
Source: RefSeq, a predicted model, not a curated record
GCUGCCUUCAUGCCAUUGGAACAAAUUGUUCUCAUCUGUCCAUUCCACCUGGGGAAGUCUUCAUAUGCUUGGAUUAGACACCCUCCUAAUUCACUGAAAGGAACAUGGAUUUAGUGCUGGAUGGAACCCUAAAGGUCCCCAAUCUGACCUCUUCAUUUUGUUGAUAAGAAAAGUUUGGCCCAGAGUGCUUCAGUGAUGUAGCCAAAGUUCCACAGGGUUCUGAGUAUUCGCCGAUAGACUCCAGAGGGGUUGAAUGGGGCUCUAACUCUUCAUCUAACACUGCUGAGCCCCUGCCCAGAGUGGGUCCCAGAGAGCCUUCCCAGCCCAUCCCAGGACUGCCUCCUCCCUUCUCCCUCCCACACCC